Molecule: ribosomal RNA, 567 nt
Filed under: Pichia kluyveri
Lineage: Eukaryota; Fungi; Ascomycota; Pichiomycetes; Pichiales; Pichiaceae
Description: partial large subunit ribosomal RNA
Rfam family: Eukaryotic large subunit ribosomal RNA
Source: RNAcentral
AUUGCCUCAGUAGCGGCGAGUGAAGCGGCAAGAGCUCAGAUUUGAAAUCUCACCUAGUGUGCGAGUUGUAAAUUGCAGGUUGGAGUCUCGGGUUAGACGUGUGUGCAAGUCCCUUGGAACAGGGUGCCACUGAGGGUGAGAGCCCCGUAGCGUGCAUGUCGACACCUGUGAGGCCCUUCUGACGAGUCGAGUUGUUUGGGAAUGCAGCUCUAAGUGGGUGGUAAAUUCCAUCUAAGGCUAAAUAUUGGCGAGAGACCGAUAGCGAACAAGUACUGUGAAGGAAAGAUGAAAAGCACUUUGAAAAGAGAGUGAAACAGCACGUGAAAUUGUUGAAAGGGAAGGGUAUUGGGCUCGACAUGGGAUUUACGCAUCGUUGCCUCUCGUGGGCGGCGCUCUGGGUUUUUCCUGGGCCAGCAUCGGUUUUCGUUGCAGGAUAAGGACAAUUGGAAUGUGGCUCCUCGGAGUGUUAUAGCCUUUUGUAGAUGCUGCGUAUGGGGACCGAGGGCUGCGGCGGACUCGUUUCGUCUCGGAUGCUGGCACAACGGCGCAAUACCGCCCGUCUUGAAC